CUUCACUUUGGGAUAAGCCUUGGAAACGGGGUCUAAUACCGGGUAUGACACAUGGCCGCAUGGUCUGUGUGUGGAAAGUUUUUGUGGUGGAGGAUGGACUCGCGGCCUAUCAGCUUGAUGGUGGGGUAGUGGCCUACCAUGGCUUUGACGGGUAGCCGGCCUGAGAGGGUGACCGGCCACACUGGGACUGAGACACGGCCCAGACUCCUACGGGAGGCAGCAGUGGGGAAUAUUGCACAAUGGACGGAAGUCUGAUGCAGCGACGCCGCGUGGGGGAUGACGGCCUUCGGGUUGUAAACUCCUUUCAGCAGGGACGAAGCUUUUUGUGACGGUACCUGCAGAAGAAGCACCGGCUAACUACGUGCCAGCAGCCGCGGUAAUACGUAGGGUGCGAGCGUUGUCCGGAAUUAUUGGGCGUAAAGAGCUUGUAGGCGGUUUGUCGCGUCUGCCGUGAAAGCCCGGGGCUUAACCCUGGGUCUGCGGUGGGUACGGGCAGGCUAGAGUGUGGUAGGGGAGACUGGAAUUCCUGGUGUAGCGGUGAAAUGCGCAGAUAUCAGGAGGAACACCGAUGGCGAAGGCAGGUCUCUGGGCCAUAACUGACGCUGAGAAGCGAAAGCAUGGGGAGCGAACAGGAUUAGAUACCCUGGUAGUCCAUGCCGUAAACGUUGGGCGCUAGGUGUGGGACUCAUUCCACGAGUUCCGUGCCGCAGCUAACGCAUUAAGCGCCCCGCCUGGGGGAGUACGGCCGCAAGGCUAAAACUCAAAGGAAUUGACGGGGGCCCGCACAAGCGGCGGAGCAUGCGGAUUAAUUCGAUGCAACGCGAAGAACCUUACCAAGGCUUGACAUACACCGGAAUGUGCCAGAGAUGGUGCAGCCUUUGGGCUGGUGUACAGGUGGUGCAUGGUUGUCGUCAGCUCGUGUCGUGAGAUGUUGGGUUAAGUCCCGCAACGAGCGCAACCCUCGUUCCAUGUUGCCAGCACGUAAUGGUGGGGACUCAUGGGAGACUGCCGGGGUCAACUCGGAGGAAGGUGGGGAUGACGUCAAAUCAUCAUGCCCCUUAUGUCUUGGGCUUCACGCAUGCUACAAUGGCUGGUACAGAGGGUUGCGAUGCCGUGAGGUGGAGCGAAUCCCUUAAAACUGGUCUCAGUUCGGAUUGGGGUCUGCAACUCGACCCCAUGAAGUUGGAGUCGCUAGUAAUCGCAGAUCAGCAACGCUGCGGUGAAUACGUUCC
This 1232-nucleotide ribosomal RNA is filed under the name Flexivirga sp. Its description in RNAcentral is "bacterial SSU rRNA". It matches the Rfam family "Bacterial small subunit ribosomal RNA", at positions 131 to 1374 of the family's 1533-position model. Lineage: Bacteria; Bacillati; Actinomycetota; Actinomycetes; Micrococcales; Dermacoccaceae. The record is from RNAcentral.